This 3579-nucleotide long non-coding RNA is filed under the name Homo sapiens (human). RNAcentral's name for it is "HSALNT0381150". Lineage: Eukaryota; Metazoa; Chordata; Mammalia; Primates; Hominidae. The record is from RNAcentral.
UGGAAGAAUUUAUCCUUGUCUUAUUUAGAAAGGAUUUCUCUCAGAAGAAAAUAGAGGGCUCUUUCUUUAACUUUAUUGUUUAAUACACUCACUCAUGCAUGCAAGCAUUGAUUCAUCCAGUAAAUGUUAUUUCUGCAUACCUACUUUAUGCCAGCCUAUGAGAGUAAACUCCAUUCUAUAUCCUUACUUAGCUCACAAAGAAGCAAGGGACACAUUCAUCAAACACUAACUUCAUGACAACAUGACAAAUUAGGUAGUGGACAAGAGUGCUCAGUGUCAGGGGUGGGCAUGCUGAGGAGGGAGUGACGAGCUCUGCCUGCCUACCAGAAGAGAUGGUAUUUGAACCAGGCCUUCAGGAAUGCUGUGCACUUCUAGAACUUGGCAGAGGGUGAGGGGCUGCAGCCUAGGAGAGGGAACAAAGCAGGAAAGCACACAGCAUGUGUGGGGAGCGACAGGUGGUAUGAAGUGACGGUAGUUGAACUCAAGGUUGCAAAAGCCAAGAGUAGGCAGGUUGUGAGGAGCAUAAGGGCUGGGUCUGUCCUGGGGAUUUGCCUACUUCUUUCUUGACCUUCAGAAUAUUUUUAAAUUCUAAGUAUAAAUACGGAGAUUAGAAAGUCUUCUGCAAUGUUGGAUUGGAAAAUAUGAGAAACAAUCAGGAUACAUUUUGGUGGUGGUGGCCAAAAUAAUGACGACCUCCUCCUCCUCCUCCUCCUUCUCCUCUUCCUCCUCCUCUUCCUCCUCCUCCUCUUCUUCCUCUUCUUCCUCCUCCUCCUUCUCUUUCCUCCUCUUCUUCUUCCCCUACUCCUUCUUCUUCUCCCCUUACUCCUUCUUCUCCUCCUCAAUUAUCUUCCUCCUCCUUGUCCUCCUUCUCCUGUUAUAAAAUAGUAGGAAUGCAUGAUUUUGCUAUAAUUUUGCAAACAAUAGUGCAUAGAAUGCCUGGACAUGGGGAAAUUUGGGUGCCACUCUGUACUAGUUUUCUAUUCAGAAACAAGAUGCAGUUAUCUCAUACACAUAAAAUGUUAAUGAGCUGAGGCUCUGUGCCCACUGUGAACUACCCAUGGCCUGGAUCUGCUGUGGAGAACUCUGGAGAUUGCUGGGUAGAAUGUCAGAAUUCAAGUGACCUCAAAGCCCUAUUGUGACCAAAUGGCUCUUGGUAUGAAUAGGGAUGUUCACACUCAGGCCUGUGACCACAGAAAAAGUAGCCAGCCCACCAUCCCUAGAUGAUUUUGCAGUCUUUGCACACCAGUGUGGCCAUAGGCUUGUUUUCUCCUGGACUGAGCCUGCAGAUCCUAUGAGCAAGCAUAUGUCCUGUGCUCCACUAGUCCUAGCUGGAUCGUGGACAUAUUACCAUCAUUACAAAUAUCAAUAGUUUGUGAUUACUUCAAACAAUCUGAAGUUGAAGGACCCCAGAUAUCCUUCAAAACAGGAAUCUGCAGGCAGAUGCUGAAACCAUGAAUACAGAGGGACAACUAUGCUCCGGCCCUGAACGCAGGAGAGUUGCUAAAGAAGUUGCUCACAGAGGCGGGAGAGAGCAGGCUACUGGUUUCCUUCAAAAUGGAAUAGGAAACAGAAAACGUGCAUCAUUUCUUCGCACUUGAAUCAGCAACAUGACACAGGACUUUGGCAUCAGACUACUAUCACACCAAAAAAAGAGGCUUCACUUGGAGUGCUGCCACUGGAUGGGGCCUGACUUGUUUAUCCGGAAAGAAGUGACUUCCCUGGGAAGAAGGUUGCAUUUGUGAAAGCUUGUGCAGCAUUUCAAGGCUGCAUUCAGGUACAGGUCUUUGAAGAGUUUGCAUUGCUCUGUGAGUUACCAGAGGACUGCCAUCUUUAAUCCAAUUCAGACAGCAAUUCACCAGGCUUUGCAUGUGCUCAGGCCUGUUGCUCCUUAUCAGAGGCCCACAUGGAGCUCUCAGUACAGCUGCAGCCCUGGAGAAUUUCCCUGUCUCCUCCUGUUCUCUCUCUCUCCUCCUCCUCCCGCUUCUCUUCCCUGCCUCUCCCCCACCCCUAUACAAACACACACAUACACACACAGACACACAGACACACACACACACACACACACACUACUCCUUGACUCUUUAAUUUUCCUUUUAAGGCAUCAAAAUCAAUUUUGGGACUCUAUUUGGUACAAAGAGUUGAUAUGGAUUUGAUACGGAUAGAGUUGACUGAUCUCUACUCUGGGUUUGAAGAUGUUGCUGCAAAUGGAAAGGAAAUAAUCCCGGGCUAUUGUGACAGAUGACAUGGUGUAGAGGGAAGAGCGCAGGACUGAAGGUGGAGAAUCACUUGUUUAUGCAACACAUAUUUCCUGAACAUCAAAUACAAGGAUAAAGCCAUGAAGGAAACAGAGCCCUGUUUCUGCAGAACACACGUUCUGGUUGGAGAAGACAAGUAGCGAAUACACCAACAAAUAAGAGAAUAUUUGACGAUGUUGAGUGUUUUAUGAAGGGGAUAAAGAGUGACUGCAGGGCUCAGAAGGAAGCGAUUAUUUUAAGUAGGGAAGGUCUUUUGUAAGAAGGUGCUAUUUAAAUUGAGACUUUAAAGGUGUGCAACUUUGGAUAAAUUGGAAACAAGAAGGGAAGUGCAUUCUGUGGGAUCUAGUAAGAGCAGAGAGUGAUGACCAACUCCAGACCCCAAAGAGAAAGGAGAGUGAGGCUAUUGGCACUUGGAGGCAGAGAAAGCCAUGUGUAGAGGGCGGCCCGACUGAGCUAAAACCUUCAGUCUGUUGGUCUUGAGCUAUUUGAGGGUCUAUUAUGUGCAGGAUUAGUCUCGGCACUAUCGAGGAUCACAAAAGCCUGUUAGUUAUGGAGUCUUCCAGCAAUAGGCUUACAGUCAAGAAUGGGAAACAACACAUAUGCACGUAAUUUGAUUGAAAUGUAGGAAGUCUUAAGGAUGAUAGGAGGAGUUCAGAUAAAGACUAGAAAGUUCUCAGGUGCCAGAUUGCUUCCAGCCAACAGAUCAGAGGAACUGCCAUAGAGGAGGUGGCUGUGUGUGCCCUGGACCUCAAAGGAGAGAGAUGAUAUUCAGACGUGUAGCAGUGAUGGGCAGAAGCACAUUUUAAGUGGAGGGAAUGAAACAGGAUAAGCAAGACUGGUGAUUGAAAAACUCUGUUUGUCUGUGCAGAAAAGAGAAAUCUUAGUUUGACUGGAGCCUCUGGCACAUGAAAGGGAUUUAGAGUUUGCCGUUUCUGUGAACCUGUCCAUCUUCACCCUCAUGCUGUUCUCCUUUCCUCUUUUAACCUGUAUCUUCUCUCUCUUUGUUUUGUUGACUUUCUCUUUUUUGUUUUCUGUUGUCCUUUUUUAUGAGUGGAGCAUUUCAGUGCAAGAGCAAAUGGGAGUGGAGUGGGGUUCUGUGGAAUGUCAGAAAUGCAUGCUCAACCUAGAUUUCCCAAGCUCUCACUCAGUCUUAUCCCAGGGAUCACUUGACAUGAUGGGAAAUGAUGGGAAAAAAAUAAACAAUGUGAUCCCAGAGCAAAGCUUAUUUACUUUAUCCGUUUAACCCAGUUCUACUGCUUCUCUCGCCAUUUCCCAAGAACCAGGGGCAGAAAACAUGAGAAAGCAGAAGGGAGACAGAUUUUAG